Molecule: ribosomal RNA, 1313 nt
Filed under: unidentified marine bacterioplankton
Lineage: Bacteria
Description: bacterial SSU rRNA
Rfam family: Bacterial small subunit ribosomal RNA
Source: RNAcentral
UUAGAGUUUGAUCAUGGCUCAGAACGUACGCUGGCGGCACGCCUAACACAUGCAAGUCGAACGAAGUAGCAAUACUUAGUGGCAGACGGGUGAGUAACAUGUAGGUAUCUGCCCUUUGGCCUGGAAUAACACGAGGAAACUUGUGCUAAUACCGGAUAAGUCUUUACGGAGAAAGCUUUAUGCACCAUUGGAUGAGCCUGCACUUGAUUAGUUUGUUGGUGGGGUAAUGGCCUACCAAGACUGUGAUCAAUAGCUGAUUUGAGAGGAUGAUCAGCCACAUUGGGACUGAGACACGGCCCAAACUCCUACGGGAGGCAGCAGUGGGGAAUCUUGCACAAUGGAGGAAACUCUGAUGCAGCGAUGCCGCGUGAGUGAAGAAGGCCUUUGGGUUGUAAAGCUCUUUCGUCGGGGAAGAAAAUGACCGUACCCGAAUAAGAAGGUCCGGCUAACUUCGUGCCAGCAGCCGCGGUAAUACGAAGGGACCUAGCGUAGUUCGGAAUUACUGGGCUUAAAGAGUUCGUAGGUGGUUGAAAAAGUUGGUGGUGAAAUCCCAGAGCUUAACUCUGGAACUGCCAUCAAAACUUUUCAGCUAGAGUAUGAUAGAGGAAAGCAGAAUUUCUAGUGUAGAGGUGAAAUUCGUAGAUAUUAGAAAGAAUACCAAUUGCGAAGGCAGCUUUCUGGAUCAUUACUGACACUGAGGAACGAAAGCAUGGGUAGCGAAGAGGAUUAGAUACCCUCGUAGUCCAUGCCGUAAACGAUGUGUGUUAGACGUUGGAAAUUUAUUUUCAGUGUCGCAGCGAAAGCGAUAAACACACCGCCUGGGGAGUACGACCGCAAGGUCAAAACUCAAAUGAAUUGACGGGGACCCGCACAAGUAGUGGAGCAUGUGGUUUAAUUCGAAGAUACGCGCAGAACCUUACCAACACUUGACAUGUUCGUCGCGACUUUAAGAGAUUAAAGUUUUCGGUUCGGCCGGACGAAACACAGGUGCUGCAUGGCUGUCGUCAGCUCGUGUCGUGAGAUGUUGGGUUAAGUCCCGCAACGAGCGCAACCCUCACUUUUAGUUGCCAUCAUUUAGUUGGGCACUCUGAAAGAACUGCCAGUGAUAAGCUGGAGGAAGGUGGGGAUGACGUCAAGUCCUCAUGGCCCUUACGUGUUGGGCUACACACGUGCUACAAUGGUAUCUACAACAGGAAGCGAAACAGCGAUGUUAAGCAAAUCCUUAAAAGAUACCUCAGUUCGGAUUGCACUCUGCAACUCGAGUGCAUGAAGCUGGAAUUACUAGUAAUCGUGGAUCAGCGUGCCACGGUGAA